Molecule: transfer RNA, 73 nt
Filed under: Bos taurus (domestic cattle)
Lineage: Eukaryota; Metazoa; Chordata; Mammalia; Artiodactyla; Bovidae
Also listed under: 5 other names
Rfam family: tRNA
About the family: Transfer RNA (tRNA) molecules are approximately 80 nucleotides in length. Their secondary structure includes four short double-helical elements and three loops (D, anti-codon, and T loops). Further hydrogen bonds mediate the characteristic L-shaped molecular structure. tRNAs have two regions of fundamental functional importance: the anti-codon, which is responsible for specific mRNA codon recognition, and the 3' end, to which the tRNAs corresponding amino acid is attached (by aminoacyl-tRNA synthetases). tRNAs cope with the degeneracy of the genetic code in two manners: having more than one tRNA (with a specific anti-codon) for a particular amino acid; and 'wobble' base-pairing, i.e. permitting non-standard base-pairing at the 3rd anti-codon position.
Source: Rfam by way of RNAcentral
UCUCUGACAGUCCAGUGGUUAAGACUUUGCACUUCCACUGCAGGGGGUGCAGGUUUGAUCCCUGAUUGGGGAA